Neopsephotus bourkii (Bourke's parrot) is the source of this 856-nucleotide long non-coding RNA. RefSeq lists it as uncharacterized. The record is from RefSeq and is a predicted model, not a curated record. NCBI's taxonomy places the organism in Eukaryota, Metazoa, Chordata, Aves, Psittaciformes, Psittacidae. The transcript has 3 exons.
CAAAACAUAAAACAGAAGAGGGGUUGCUAAAGAAGCACUGCUAUGUUUCCCUAAACUAAAUCAUCAGUGCCAGCAUGCCCUCAUUCCUAUACUUUUCGUCUCAUGGACUGUUAAGCACAACCUCAUCGGUGCCCACCUGGAAGACCCUGGGAAUGCUGCAUUCAGUGUUAGGCUUCAGAAGAUUUCAUCACUCUCUAAAAGCUUUUUCAGAAGAUUUUCACCCUGAUAUAAGGUAGUAUUGAAAGGCCAACCAUUCAAACCUAGUCAGAGAAGACACAGCUAUUCCUUGGAACUAAUCCUGGCUCUUGAAUGUUAAUAUUCUUGGGAAAUUUUAAUGUUUCUUGUCAAUCUCAAUGAGUCAUUUAAUUGUCAACUUAAAAUUUGUUUACUUUCAGAGUAAAAAUUUGAUUUAUUAUAACUAUGCUGAGUAAGAAUCAAUGCAUGUAUUUGUGGUAUAAAAUUUUAAAUGCUGCAACGCAUUGAGAUAUUGAGACGGAUCACACAUGGUUGUUUAAAAAGACACUUCUGGCAUGGGUACAAUUUAAACAGUAUAUGCAAAUAAGCAGUUGUAAGUAAUCAAAAGAGAAUUCUCUACUAAUAAAAGCUAAUAUUUAUUAUUGUUUCUAUCACCAUUCCUGGAGCCUGAAGUUGCAAAACUAGAUUUCCUAAUUUGACUUAUUAAUGAAUAAAUGAAAAGAACCCAAACAUCUUUCUUAUUUAAUCUCCUUUUUUUCCCCCUCAAAAUUAAUAAGGUCAACUUUGCUCCCAUAUUCCACAUUUCUUAUCCCAACUGAGCAGCUUAUUGUACCACCGAUGGAAUGCAACAGAUUGCGAAGGAAUCAAGGAGACGUUUGAA